Molecule: ribosomal RNA, 505 nt
Filed under: uncultured soil bacterium
Lineage: Bacteria
Description: bacterial SSU rRNA
Rfam family: Bacterial small subunit ribosomal RNA
Source: RNAcentral
AGAUUGAACGCUGGCGGCAUGCUUUACACAUGCAAGUCGAACGGUAACAGGCCGCAAGGUGCUGACGAGUGGCGAACGGGUGAGUAAUAUAUCGGAACGUGCCCAGUCGUGGGGGAUAACGCAGCGAAAGCUGCGCUAAUACCGCAUACGAUCUAUGGAUGAAAGCGGGGGACCGUAAGGCCUCGCGCGAUUGGAGCGGCCGAUAUCAGAUUAGGUAGUUGGUGGGGUAAAGGCUCACCAAGCCAACGAUCUGUAGCUGGUCUGAGAGGACGACCAGCCACACUGGGACUGAGACACGGCCCAGACUCCUACGGGAGGCAGCAGUGGGAAUUUUGGACAAUGGGCGCAAGCCUGAUCCAGCAAUGCCGCGUGCAGGAAGAAGGCCUGGUGUAACUAGCUUUGUACGUAACGAAACGGUACCUGGUUAAUAGCCUGGGCGUAAUAGUACGGUACCGUAAACGAAAGUAAAGACACCGGACCGUAACUACGUAGUCCGAGCAGCCGA